RNAcentral lists this long non-coding RNA (1070 nucleotides) under Canis lupus familiaris (dog). Its description in RNAcentral is "lncRNA (ENSCAFG00000055478.1)". Lineage: Eukaryota; Metazoa; Chordata; Mammalia; Carnivora; Canidae. The record is from RNAcentral.
GGAAGUUCUGGGGUACCCAGAAUCUGUGCAUCCUUUUUUUUUUUUUUUAGAAUCUGUGCAUCUAAGAUGGAACCCGUGGCCUGGAUGCCUCAGGUCUUCUGUGUCCUUUGUAAGGAAGACAAAUGGAUUUGUUUUUACAAAAAUUUUCCAAGAUGGGGAUCCCUGGGUGGCGCAGCGGUUUGGCGCCUGCCUUUGGCCCAGGGCGCGAUCCUGGAGACCCGGGAUCGAAUCCCACGUCGGGCUCCCGGUGCAUGGAGCCUGCUUCUCCCUCUGCCUGUGUCUCUGCCUCUCUCCCUCUCUCUUGGUGACUAUCAUAAAUAAAUAAAAAUUAAAAAAAAUUUUUUUCCAAGAUGUUAUAAGUUUUGUGAAUUUAAAUUCCAGCCACUCCAUCUACCUUAAUAGUGGUGUGUGAUGAUAGAUUCUGUUUUUUAUGGUAAGCUUACCAUCAGCCAGGAACUGUGUUAGGUGUUUUACACACAUUUUAAAAUUUAACUCUCAGAAACACUCCCAUCUGGUAUCUAUCAUUAUCUUCAGGUGAAAGGACUAUUUUAUAGGUAGUGAAACUAGGGUUCCUAGAGGUUAGAUAAUUUGUCCAAGGUCAUUAGGAGAGCCAAGACUGCAACUCAGUCUAAUUUUAACAUUUGAGUUUCUUCCAAUUUAAUCCAUGCCUUCUUAACACUGUAUUGCAGAACAAUAAAAACCAAAUGUAAUGACUUACUGUAAGAGCUAUAAGUAUCCUUAUGUUUUUUUUUCUAUUUUUAAUUGUGCCAAAAUACAUAUGACAUAAAAUUUUCCACCUUGCCUUUUUUAAGGGUACAGUUCAGUAGUGUUAAGUACCUUCACAUUGUUGCAUAAUCAAUAUCCAGAGCUCCUACAUUCUUGCACAUGUCUCUUGGGGCACCUUUGCAAGAGUUUCUCUAGGGCGUGUUUUAUGGGUAGAAUUGCUGGGGAGUUCCACCUAUGUGUGGAAUGCAUAGGUUUGCACAUGUUGAUUUAAUCAGUUAAGGCCAAACUCUUUUACAAAAUGGUUGCACCAAUUUAUAGUUCCAUAGGCAGGAUUUUUUUUUUAA